This 2621-nucleotide long non-coding RNA is filed under the name Mus musculus (house mouse). RNAcentral's name for it is "long non-coding RNA chr9:83447558-83450179". The record is from RNAcentral. Lineage: Eukaryota; Metazoa; Chordata; Mammalia; Rodentia; Muridae.
GUGCCUUUUCAUGAGUAAAAGCUUUAAUACCGCCCGCAAAGAGCAAUUUUCCCCGCAGUGGCUUAUGCCAUUUCCUAUUGUCCAGUGGGUGACCAAUUUCUCUGAUACAAGCCAUUAUUUAGAUCAGAGGGUUAUUUUAAGAAUUAAUUUUUAAUAAUAUUCAAUCCGGCCAAGAAAAAAAAAGCUCUAGGAAUGAUUUUUAAGAUGUUUAAGGUUUCCCACGUUUUGUGUGGUUUACGACUAAAGCCCGAGCAUUAAAUAAAGGAGCAACUGUCGAAAGUGCCGCCCGCGGAGUAAGCACUCUGAUCUACCUUCUCUCGGUCGCCCUCUGGUUCUAUUUGUGGCUCAGAAGGUGACUGAGAGGACGAUGAGUGCGAUGAGUGCAGGUCGCUACGAGCCAGUCCAGCCAGCCAGGCCAGCCGCGGGUUUCCCCGGAUUUAAGCCUCCCACCUGACCCUUCACUCCUCUGAGCUAUGACGCUGCCCUUUCCUCCUCCUCCCUCCAUAGCCGCUGCUCUUUGUGGCGCAGCAUCUCACUCAGCUCAGGGCCUGGCCGCGCCUGUGAUACCGGAUGCAUCUGUGGCCCUGCCCAUCCUUGGCAGUGUAAGAAAAGAGAGCAGCCUUGCAGUCAUUCGGACUUGAAUCCGUUAAAAUGAUGCAUAACUUAUAUCUUAUUUGAUGCUUUCCAACCAAAGCUUUCAAAUGAACGAAACCUGGGAAUAAACCAAGUUAAUUUCCCCCACUUUUCCUUCUGUUUUAGUUGGCGUGCCUCGCUAAGUAUAACUCAUAUUUGAUCUCACCACCUGAAGUUUUAUCUUGGUAAUUAAAACAAUUGGAAAGCAAUUUUAGAAAUAAGAUGUCAUAGGAAAACAAACUAUUCCCUCCCACUACAUAUGGCUAAGUACCCGUUAGACCGGUGACCUACAUCAGAGAAUGAAAAAAAUGUGCCAAAAAUGUAAAGAUGCUUGUGAAGAAGUGUUGCCCCAGACACUGGCCCUUUGACAACAGUGGUUUUUGAAGUUGUAUUACUGGUUUGCAAAUGCAGUGUUAAAUGAUUGCCUGCAGAUCUAACCAAAGGAAAACUUCAACCUGUCCUCAGCCUCCUGCUAACACUUGGUAGUAUUGUGUCCUUUUGGUCAAGUUUAUGUCUCCUCCUCCUCCUCCUCCUCCUCCUCCUCUUCCUCCUCCUCCUCCUCCUUCUGAGACAUUCUCUACUUCAGGUUAACCUUGAAUUCCCUAGUAGCUGACAAUGACCUUGAGUUUCUGAUCCUUAUGGCUUUACCAGUAAAGUGAUGAGAUUACAGGCCUUUGCCACCAACCACCCUGGUUUAUGCAGUGCUAGACAUGAACCAGGGUCUCAGGCACGCUAGGCAAGCACUGUCUCCACUGAGCCUCCUCCCCAGGCAUGCUUCUUCCAAUACGUUGUUAUUGGAGAACAACAAAGGGGCACACAGGCUUUCUGAACAAAAUCGUUACAAGCAGUGGUCUUAAGUAAAACAGCCCAUGCUGUCAGUGUCCAGACAGACAGAUAAAUGACAGACUUCCAAGGAUCAAAGAAGCACGUAGGAAUGAGGUCAUGGUAUCUCUAUCAGAGAGCGAUUUCUACAUGCCUUGACCCAACCUGGAACACCGCAAUUAGUACUCGGGACAAAGGUGAAGUUGAUCACAACACUGUGACAUGAUUCAACACAUUUAGGAAUGCUAAAACAUUUCCCCCUAGAAUACCAAGUGAGCCAUACAAAUAGUGGGGAAAGCAUCUCUCAAAGUCUCUCAGGCUUCCCCCUCCCACCUGCUAGGGAGAAGGUUGCCUGGGAGAUUUUCCUCCUGAUUCCUGGAAAUUUUGAACUAUUACCCUCGAAGAAGCCAUGGAUAAUUAGGACUCAGCAGCACCUUCCUCAGGAUUACAUAUGGGUGUCAAGUCCCGCCCUGGAAAAGGCCUCUCCUCAUCUUCAGCAGAAGAAGCCUGAGUUUGGGAAAGGAUAGAAGAAACUAGUUGCCUUUACAGAGAUUUGCUGUUUGUUUUGUUUUGUUUUUGUUUGGGGGGUUUUGUUGUUUGUUUGUUUUUUUACUCUUAUGAAGCUCAGUGGGUGGGGACUGAGAGGUGGAAAUCCAAUUGAAUAGCUCAUCUUAAUCCACAGUGUCUAAAAAAAAAGGGAUGUUAACAUCUCAUGAUGCAUGCUAGUCAGUUACAGCCCCUUUGUUCAGUGUUUUGGUGUUCCCACUGAGAUAGAGUAUUUGAGACAGCUGUUGAAAGAGUUUCCCAUUGAUGGGCCACAUCUGAAAUGCUAGCAUUUAUUUCUAGUGUAGCAAUAUCUGAAACUGGAACCAAAAUCACCCUGGCUAGAAAGGCUCUGUGAUAUAGACCAGAGUCCAGUUUAGUUCUCUGGGUAAAAAGACACUGCAAUUGCCAUUGAGGGUCUUGAUCGCAUGUGAAAGGAGGGGGCUUGACGAAGGGGAUGCUGGGUAGCCAGAGAUAGGGUUAGAAGGGUGACAAUUAGCCCUGAGAGGAAGUCCUUCUUUUCCUCAAAGACAUAGGGGACCUUGAUAAAGCCAAGCAUUGCCAAGGUAACCAGGCUUUGAUUCCUUGGAACCAUGCAGACCUCUGGAGAGUGGUCCCAGGUC